CAAAAACCUUUUAUCUCUGUAACUCAUCACCACGCAUGCUCAUUUUUAGUUUUUUCGUCCCUGAUUCACAGAGCAUGCUACAAUGAUCUUUCAAUUUUUUAGAGACUACCUUAAAAAGAGCCCCGUAGAGAGCUAUGUUUUGUUCAGUUUUAUCCUCUCUGUUGUUGAGAAAGUGGUGGAACUGAACUUUGUUUGCCCUUGCAUGUACAAAAGAAACAUUCUUUCAUGCUGUACUUAUGUUCUUGUGCCUGGUUUUACAAUCUUUGCCCUAACAUAUGUUGUCCUGGAGCUGGACAACAAGAGUAAACGGAUUAUUUACUUUUUUAUUUUAUUUAGUAUUUGGAUGGCCCUCUUCCUGCUUGAUGGCAGAUAUGUAGCCUGUGCAGCUUCAAACUGGGAAGGGAUUUACACUCAUGAUUCUAUGCCUUGGUGUAAGCCAGUGGGAAAUGGAUCUGAAAUUGCAACAGAACGUCGUCUUGAAACACAGGAGUUCUUUUUUUGGUCUGAGGUAUUUGGACUCGUCCUAAUUUUAGAAAUUAUUCUUGGGGUAACAUGGCUGCACUGCAACUGUGGUGAAGGCCCUAAAGGCAAAGGAAGCACAGGAAACUGCACUUUUGCAAUACGAACUUAAAAAUGUACCUCUCCACAAACUACUGGAAAUGACAACAAAUGAAACGAAGGUUAAAGAACAGUGUUGAUUCCUUGUUUGGGUAAUUGUUUGAAAAAUGAGCAAAUGCCUCCAAAUCAGAGUAAAACUGUGUAAAUCAAAUGCAAUGGCAAGCUAUAAUAUGGAAUAGAUUCUGGUUGAAGUGAUAUACAUAUUAGAGUUGUUUUUAAUGUCUGCAUAUAUAAAUAUUUUACAAUCAUAUUAAUAGGACUGGGUCUGCGUAUAUAUAAAUUUGCUACAUUAUUAAAUUUGGAAAUAUGGAGAUUUUGCUGAAAUUACAUGCUUGCUCCUCAGUGUAAUGUAAUAUUUGUUAUACUAUUUUAAUGCCUUUUGUGCCCACUGUUAUCUCAUCACUUCCCAUCACAGGCUCUUCACAAUAUCUGUACAUGCAUACUGAAUGUAUUUUGUCUGUUUUUACUAAUUUUACUAAUUUCUGUUAGAAGGUUUUUUUUUUCUGUAAAGCUCUUGGAUAAUUGAUAUGUAACAGCUUGUUCUUAUUUCUAUUUUAAUCAAAAUAAUAUUGUCUUUAUCUUACAGUCUUUGAUUUUAACAUGUUCUUAAUGAAUACAAUUACUUGUAAAUGUCAUUGACUGAAUCAUUUUUUGUUAAUAAAAGCCUGCCUUUGUCAUCA
Molecule: long non-coding RNA, 1298 nt
Filed under: Astyanax mexicanus (Mexican tetra)
Lineage: Eukaryota; Metazoa; Chordata; Actinopteri; Characiformes; Acestrorhamphidae
Description: lncRNA (ENSAMXG00005013728.1)
Source: RNAcentral